UCUUUAUCACCGAGUGCUUGCACUCACCGGUAAACGGUUGAGUGGCGAACGGGUGAGUAACACGUGGGCAACCUGCCCAAAAGAGGGGGAUAACACUUGGAAACAGGUGCUAAUACCGCAUAACCAUAGUUACCGCAUGGUAGCUAUGUAAAAGGUGGCUAUGCUACCGCUUUUGGAUGGGCCCGCGGCGCAUUAGCUAGUUGGUGGGGUAAAGGCUUACCAAGGCAAUGAUGCGUAGCCGAACUGAGAGGUUGAUCGGCCACAUUGGGACUGAGACACGGCCCAAACUCCUACGGGAGGCAGCAGUAGGGAAUCUUCCACAAUGGGCGAAAGCCUGAUGGAGCAACGCCGCGUGGGUGAAGAAGGUCUUCGGAUCGUAAAACCCUGUUGUCAGAGAAGAAAGUGCGUGAGAGUAACUGUUCACGUUUCGACGGUAUCUAACCAGAAAGCCACGGCUAACUACGUGCCAGCUGCCGCGGUAAUACGUAGGUGGCAAGCGUUAUCCGGAUUUAUUGGGCGUAAAGGGAACGCAGGCGGUCUUUUAAGUCUGAUGUGAAAGCCUUCGGCUUAACCGGAGUAGUGCAUUGGAAACUGGGAGACUUGAGUGCAGAAGAGGAGAGUGGAACUCCAUGUGUAGCGGUGAAAUGCGUAGAUAUAUGGAAGAACACCAGUGGCGAAAGCGGCUCUCUGGUCUGUAACUGACGCUGAGGUUCGAAAGCGUGGGUAGCAAACAG
RNAcentral lists this ribosomal RNA (734 nucleotides) under uncultured bacterium. Its description in RNAcentral is "bacterial SSU rRNA". It matches the Rfam family "Bacterial small subunit ribosomal RNA", at positions 62 to 775 of the family's 1533-position model. The record is from RNAcentral.